Molecule: ribosomal RNA, 257 nt
Filed under: Atoxoplasma sp. MS-2003
Lineage: Eukaryota; Apicomplexa; Conoidasida; Eucoccidiorida; Eimeriidae
Description: partial small subunit ribosomal RNA
Rfam family: Eukaryotic small subunit ribosomal RNA
Source: RNAcentral
ACGGGUAACGGGGAAUUAGGGUUCGAUUCCGGAGAGGGAGCCUGAGAAACGGCUACCACAUCUAAGGAAGGCAGCAGGCGCGCAAAUUACCCAAUGAAAACAGUUUCGAGGUAGUGACGAGAAAUAACAAUACAGGGCAUUUUAUGCUCUGUAAUUGGAAUGAUGGGAAUGUAAAACCCUUUCAGAGUAACAAUUGGAGGGCAAGUCUGGUGCCAGCAGCCGCGGUAAUUCCAGCUCCAAUAGUGUAUAUUAGAGUU